CCAUCACAUAUACAAAGGAAGAAUAACAGAAUACAUGUUGGUAUGUGGUGUCUGGAGAUGAGGACAGAGAGAGAGUAGAAGUGGGUUCAGAGGAGAUGGAGGAGAUGGGCAGGACAGAGAGAGAGUAGAGUGGGUUCAGAGGAGAUGGAGGAGAUGGGCAGGACAGAGAGAGAGUAGAGUUGGGUUCAGGGGAGAUGGAGGAGAUGGGCAGGACAGAGAGAGAGUAGAGUGGGUUCAGGGGAGAUGGAGGAGAUGGGCAGGACAGAGAGAGAGUAGAGUUGGGUUCAGGGUGUCCUUCUGUUUUCUCUCACUGAUUCAUAGGUAAUCUCUUCAGCUCUUUGUUUCCCGGUGGUUGUCAUAGUGAGGAGCUGACAGUCUCUC
This is a long non-coding RNA of Oncorhynchus tshawytscha (Chinook salmon), 381 nucleotides long. The record is from Ensembl. NCBI's taxonomy places the organism in Eukaryota, Metazoa, Chordata, Actinopteri, Salmoniformes, Salmonidae.